This 301-nucleotide ribosomal RNA is filed under the name uncultured bacterium. Its description in RNAcentral is "partial 16S ribosomal RNA". It matches the Rfam family "Bacterial small subunit ribosomal RNA", at positions 509 to 808 of the family's 1533-position model. The record is from RNAcentral.
CAGUCGCCGCGGUAAUACGUAGGUCCCGAGCGUUGUCCGGAUUUAUUGGGCGUAAAGCGAGCGCAGGCGGUUAGAAAAGUCUGAAGUUAAAGGCUGUGGCUUAACCAUAGUACGCUUUGGAAACUGUUUAACUUGAGUGCAAGAGGGGAGAGUGGAAUUCCAUGUGUAGCGGUGAAAUGCGUAGAUAUAUGGAGGAACACCGGUGGCGAAAGCGGCUCUCUGGCUUGUAACUGACGCUGAGGCUCGAAAGCGUGGGGCGCAAACAGGAUUAGAUACCCCCGUAGUCCCUGUCUCUUAUACA